GCAUAUCAAUAAGCGGAGGAAAAGAAACCAACAGGGAUUGCCCUAGUAACGGCGAGUGAAGCGGCAACAGCUCAAAUUUGAAAUCUGGCGCAAGCCCGAGUUGUAAUUUGCAGAGGAUGCUUCUGGGCAGCGGCCGUUCUAAGUUCCUUGGAACAGGACGUCAUAGAGGGUGAGAAUCCCGUAUGUGACCGGCGCGCACCCUCCACGUAGCUCCUUCGACGAGUCGAGUUGUUUGGGAAUGCAGCUCUAAAUGGGAGGUAAAUUUCUUCUAAAGCUAAAUACCGGCCAGAGACCGAUAGCGCACAAGUAGAGUGAUCGAAAGAUGAAAAGCACUUUGGAAAGAGAGUUAAAAAGCACGUGAAAUUGUUGAAAGGGAAGCGCUUGCAACCAGACUUCGCGGCGGUGUUCCGCCGGUCUUUUGACCGGUCUACUCGCCGCCGCGAGGCCAACAUCGUCUGGGGCCGCCGGAUAAGACCAUGGGAAUGUGGCUCCCUCGGGAGUGUUAUAGCCCACGGUGAUGCGGCGUGUCCCGGGCGAGGUCCGCGCUCGG
RNAcentral lists this ribosomal RNA (550 nucleotides) under Paramycosphaerella marksii. RNAcentral's name for it is "eukaryotic LSU rRNA". It matches the Rfam family "Eukaryotic large subunit ribosomal RNA", at positions 38 to 604 of the family's 3401-position model. The record is from RNAcentral. Lineage: Eukaryota; Fungi; Ascomycota; Dothideomycetes; Mycosphaerellales; Mycosphaerellaceae.